GAUGAACGCUGGCGGCGUGCCUAAUACAUGCAAGUCGAGCGAACAGACGAGGAGCUUGCUCCUCUGACGUUAGCGGCGGACGGGUGAGUAACACGUGGAUAACCUACCUAUAAGACUGGGAUAACUUCGGGAAACCGGAGCUAAUACCGGAUAAUAUAUUGAACCGCAUGGUUCAAUAGUGAAAGACGGUUUUGCUGUCACUUAUAGAUGGAUCCGCGCCGCAUUAGCUAGUUGGUAAGGUAACGGCUUACCAAGGCAGCGAUGCGUAGCCGACCUGAGAGGGUGAUCGGCCACACUGGAACUGAACCACGGUCCAGACUCCUACGGGAGGCAGCAGUAGGGAAUCUUCCGCAAAGGGCGAAAGCCUGACGGAGCAACGCCGCGUGAGUGAUGAAGGUCUUCGGAUCGUAAAACUCUGUUAUUAGGGAAGAACAAAUGUGUAAGUAACUAUGCACGUCUUGACGGUACCUAAUCAGAAAGCCACGGCUAACUACGUG
Molecule: ribosomal RNA, 497 nt
Filed under: uncultured bacterium
Lineage: Bacteria
Description: partial 16S ribosomal RNA
Rfam family: Bacterial small subunit ribosomal RNA
Source: RNAcentral